GAUUUGGCGGACGGGUGAGUAACGCGUGGGAACAUACCCUUUCCUGCGGAAUAGCUCCGGGAAACUGGAAUUAAUACCGCAUACGCCCUACGGGGGAAAGAUUUAUCGGGGAAGGAUUGGCCCGCGUUGGAUUAGCUAGUUGGUGGGGUAAAGGCCUACCAAGGCGACGAUCCAUAGCUGGUCUGAGAGGAUGAUCAGCCACAUUGGGACUGAGACACGGCCCAAACUCCUACGGGAGGCAGCAGUGGGGAAUAUUGGACAAUGGGCGCAAGCCUGAUCCAGCCAUGCCGCGUGAGUGAUGAAGGCCUUAGGGUUGUAAAGCUCUUUCACCGGUGAAGAUAAUGACGGUAACCGGAGAAGAAGCCUCGGCUAACUUCGUGCCAGCAGCCGCGGUAAUAAU
Molecule: ribosomal RNA, 400 nt
Filed under: uncultured Agrobacterium sp.
Lineage: Bacteria; Pseudomonadati; Pseudomonadota; Alphaproteobacteria; Hyphomicrobiales; Rhizobiaceae
Description: bacterial SSU rRNA
Rfam family: Bacterial small subunit ribosomal RNA
Source: RNAcentral